GAGUUUGAUCCUGGCUCAGAUUGAACGCUGGCGGCAUGCUUUACACAUGCAAGUCGAACGGCAGCACGGGUGCUUGCACCUGGUGGCGAGUGGCGAACGGGUGAGUAAUGCAUCGGAACGUACCCAGUCGUGGGGGAUAGCCCGGGGAAACCCGGAUUAAUACCGCAUACGCCCUGAGGGGGAAAGUGGGGGACCGCAAGGCCUCACGCGAUUGGAGCGGCUGAUGUCGGAUUAGCUAGUUGGUGGGGUAAAGGCCUACCAAGGCGACGAUCCGUAGCUGGUCUGAGAGGAUGAUCAGCCACACUGGGACUGAGACACGGCCCAGACUCCUACGGGAGGCAGCAGUGGGGAAUUUUGGACAAUGGGGGCAACCCUGAUCCAGCCAUGCCGCGUGAGUGAAGAAGGCCUUCGGGUUGUAAAGCUCUUUCAGUUGGGAAGAAACGGGGUUCUCUAAUACAGGGCUCUACUGACGGUACCGACAGAAGAAGCACCGGCUAACUACGUGCCAGCAGCCGCGGUAAUACGUAGGGUGCGAGCGUUAAUCGRAAUUACUGGGCGUAAAGCGUGCGCAGGCGGUUGUGUAAGACAGGUGUGAAAUCCCCGGGCUUAACCUGGGAACUGCGCUUGUGACUGCACGGCUAGAGUACGGCAGAGGGGGGUGGAAUUCCACGUGUAKCAGUGAAAUGCGUAGAGAUGUGGAGGAACACCGAUGGCGAAAGCAGCCCCCUGGGCCGAUACUGACGCUCAUGC
Molecule: ribosomal RNA, 750 nt
Filed under: uncultured bacterium
Lineage: Bacteria
Description: bacterial SSU rRNA
Rfam family: Bacterial small subunit ribosomal RNA
Source: RNAcentral